UAAAAUAAGAGGCAAGCAGACAAACUAGG
RNAcentral lists this non-coding RNA (29 nucleotides) under Homo sapiens (human). The record is from RNAcentral. Lineage: Eukaryota; Metazoa; Chordata; Mammalia; Primates; Hominidae.